RNAcentral lists this microRNA precursor (91 nucleotides) under Ovis aries (sheep). RNAcentral describes it as "microRNA mir-453". Lineage: Eukaryota; Metazoa; Chordata; Mammalia; Artiodactyla; Bovidae. The record is from RNAcentral.
GUGGAUGUGGGAAUGCCACCAGCAGUGCUGCCUCACGGUACUUGGAGGGAGGUUGUCCGUGGUGAGUUUGCAUUGUCUAAUGAUGCCCAAU